GGGGGAAUUUUCCGCAAUGGGCGAAAGCCUGACGGAGCAAUGCCGCGUGGAGGUGGAAGGCCUACGGGUCGUCAACUUCUUUUCUCGGAGAAGAAACAAUGACGGUAUCUGAGGAAUAAGCAUCGGCUAACUCUGCGCCAG
RNAcentral lists this ribosomal RNA (141 nucleotides) under uncultured bacterium. RNAcentral's name for it is "partial 16S rRNA". It matches the Rfam family "Bacterial small subunit ribosomal RNA", at positions 355 to 511 of the family's 1533-position model. The record is from RNAcentral.